AACCGGACACACCCAUUUUUUUAGACCGCCCCCAGUGAAUAUAAGGAUCCUGCACAUAAAAGAAGAGGAAAGGGUAAUAAGCUGGGGGCUCGAAAAUGGGAAGGCAAAAGUCCUACUGAGCAAAAAGAAUCAACUGGAUGUGGCUACUGAUGGAAAUUCAGUCACAAAAUUGACAAUAUUUGAGAGAAAUAAGAAAACAAUCUCAGAGGAUGAAUCAUAUAUUUUGAGAGGAUAUUCUCUGAGAGGGAAUGAGCCCCAUUUAUUUCUACAUGUCCUCCCAACAACUCAGUUUUUUAAGGGCCCGAAGGUGUCCAUUACUGUGGAGAUUACAGCGAGGGGAAAGGCCCUGUUAGAUCUGCCAGCCCCCUUGACUUGUUUAGAAAAAGUAGCAGUGGGGGGUGGCCUGAUAAGUGCAAAAGGAGAAAUUGUCGAGGUAUGAAUUUUUAUAUUUCUUAUAACUUCAUAAUUUAAUCUCAGACUUCAUUUGCUAGCUGUAGAUAUCGAAUAACUACAAGAUAACCUGACAUGGCCCAUUACAGAACAAUAUGUGAACUCUAAAUUUUUUAUUUAUUUAUUUUUUUGGUACUUUUCAGUUUACUGCAGUGAGACUGGUUAAAUCUGGGAGAGGCGAGGUACCGAUCCGUAGUACCAGGCUGAAAGAGGGCAGCUGCACAAUGCAGCUGUCAUUGUGGAGAGAGGCAGUGAUGGUGGAACUCCAAGUGGGGCAACAUGUCCAUGUUUCGCAUGUGACAUGCCAAGAUUAUGGAUAUGGCCCAAAGCUGCAAAGCACGGCACACACAAAAGUAGAGGCUCAAAAGGAGAACAUGGAAGUCAUCAUAAUCGGUGUCAUGGACACGGAUGACACGAAUAUGAAGGAAGUCCUCCUAGAGGAUGACAUCACUCUACUCAUGUCAGCUGCAGUAUGGUAGCCUUUUAAUGGGGAGUUGGAGCAUGGGAAAAUUGAGGCUCGAAUUGAAAUCAGAGGAAGAGAAAUUCAAAAAAUGUCAAUGAAAUAAUUUGUAUUCAAAGUGAAAAAAAAUCUGUUAAUGCUGUUAUUUAUGUAUUG
This is a non-coding RNA of Poecilia reticulata (guppy), 1066 nucleotides long. NCBI's taxonomy places the organism in Eukaryota, Metazoa, Chordata, Actinopteri, Cyprinodontiformes, Poeciliidae. The record is from RefSeq and is a predicted model, not a curated record.